Molecule: transfer RNA, 72 nt
Filed under: Camelus bactrianus (Bactrian camel)
Lineage: Eukaryota; Metazoa; Chordata; Mammalia; Artiodactyla; Camelidae
Also listed under: 1 other name
Rfam family: tRNA
About the family: Transfer RNA (tRNA) molecules are approximately 80 nucleotides in length. Their secondary structure includes four short double-helical elements and three loops (D, anti-codon, and T loops).
Source: Rfam by way of RNAcentral
GGAGGUAUAGCUCAGUGGUAGAGCGCAUGCUUAGCAUGCACAAGGUCUUGGGUUCAAUUCCCAGCACCUCCA